AACGAACGCUGGCGGCAGGCCUAACACAUGCAAGUCGAGCGAGGACUUCGGUUCUAGCGGCGGACGGGGGAGUAACGCGUGGGAAUGUGCCCUUCUCUACGGAAUAGCCCUGGGAAACUGGGAGUAAUACCGUAUACGCCCUAUUGGGGAAAGAUUUAUCGGAGAAGGAUCAGCCCGCGUUGGAUUAGGUAGUUGGUGGGGUAAUGGCCUACCAAGCCGAGGAUCCAUAGCUGGUUUGAGAGGAUGAUCAGCCAGACUGGGACUGGGACACGGCCCAGACUCCAACGGGAGGCAGCAGUGGGGAAUCUUAGACAAUGGGCGCGACGCUGAUCUGGCCCUGCCGCGUGGGUGAUGAAGGCCUUAGGGUUGUAAAGCUCUUUCAGCUGGGAAGAUAAUGACGGUACCAACAGAAGAAGCCCCGGCUAACUCCGUG
Molecule: ribosomal RNA, 433 nt
Filed under: uncultured bacterium
Lineage: Bacteria
Description: partial 16S ribosomal RNA
Rfam family: Bacterial small subunit ribosomal RNA
Source: RNAcentral